Molecule: ribosomal RNA, 727 nt
Filed under: Belondira coomansi
Lineage: Eukaryota; Metazoa; Nematoda; Enoplea; Dorylaimida; Belondiridae
Description: eukaryotic LSU rRNA
Rfam family: Eukaryotic large subunit ribosomal RNA
Source: RNAcentral
GGGAAAGUUGAAAAGAACUUUGAAGAGAGAGUUCAAAAGGGCGUGAAACCGCUUAGAAAGAAACGGACAGAGCCGUCUGUCGCCCUCGGAAAUCAGUCGCGCGUUACGCUAACGCAUCGCAGUAUUGCAGCGUGAGUGCAGCUGCGGUGUUAAAGUAGCGUUCGUGCGGCGCAUUUUUCGAGGGUUAGCACCGCGACCAGUACGAAAGGCUAACGGAGCUCGUCGGGAUUGAGGUCGAGGUCGAGUCUAUCUCGUAACCAGUCCUACGGGCGCCCAUCGUUAGACCGAAGUAUUGCGCGCCUAGUAAACGAUACGUCGGCUGUAAAUUGCUCGUCGAGCGACGAAGAACCGAUUCGUUAGCCGGUAGAUGCUCGCAUCUACGGGCGAGUAGGGUCGAUUCUAUAAUCGCCGACGACGUUCGACGUAUAGGCGUCGGCGGUGUCAGUGUCGGUCGCCUGUCCGACCCGUCUUGAAACACGGACCAAGGAGUCUAACAUAUGCGCUAGCUAUUGGGCGAAAAACCCAAGAGCGCAAUAAAAGUAAACGCUGUCCUACGACAGCUAAAGUGCGAUCCUAGAGAUACACUCUAGGCGCAGCACUGUCCCGUCUCGACCGCGCGUCGGUAGGGCGGAGAUAGAGUGCAUACGUUGGGACCCGAAAGAUGGUGAACUAUGCCUGAGCAGAGCGAAGCCAGAGGAAACUCUGGUGGAGGUUCGUAGCGGUUCUG